This 898-nucleotide ribosomal RNA is filed under the name Neonectria galligena. RNAcentral's name for it is "LSU rRNA". It matches the Rfam family "Eukaryotic large subunit ribosomal RNA", at positions 38 to 968 of the family's 3401-position model. The record is from RNAcentral. Lineage: Eukaryota; Fungi; Ascomycota; Sordariomycetes; Hypocreales; Nectriaceae.
GCAUAUCAAUAAGCGGAGGAAAAGAAACCAACAGGGAUUGCCCUAGUAACGGCGAGUGAAGCGGCAACAGCUCAAAUUUGAAAUCUGGCCCCCGGGUCCGAGUUGUAAUUUGUAGAGGAUGCUUUUGGUGCGGUACCUUCCGAGUGCCCUGGAACGGGACGCCAUAGAGGGUGAGAGCCCCGUCUGGUUGGACGCCAAUCCUUUGUAAAGCUCCUUCAACGAGUCGAGUAGUUUGGGAAUGCUGCUCUAAAUGGGAGGUAUAUGUCUUCUAAAGCUAAAUAUUGGCCAGAGACCGAUAGCGCACAAGUAGAGUGAUCGAAAGAUGAAAAGCACUUUGAAAAGAGAGUUAAAAAGUACGUGAAAUUGUUGAAAGGGAAGCGCUCAUGACCAGACUUGGGCUUGGUUGAUCAUCCAGGGUUCUCCCUGGUGCACUCUUCCGGCCCAGGCCAGCAUCAGUUCGCUGUGGGGGAUAAAGGCUUCGGGAAUGUGGCUCCCUCGGGAGUGUUAUAGCCCGUCGUGUAAUACCCUGUGGUGGACUGAGGUUCGCGCAUUCGCAAGGAUGCUGGCGUAAUGGUCAUCAGCGACCCGUCUUGAAACACGGACCAAGGAGUCGUCUUCGUAUGCGAGUGUUCGGGUGUCAAACCCCUACGCGUAAUGAAAGUGAACGCAGGUGAGAGCUUCGGCGCAUCAUCGACCGAUCCUGAUGUUCUCGGAUGGAUUUGAGUAAGAGCAUACGGGGCCGGACCCGAAAGAAGGUGAACUAUGCCUGUAUAGGGUGAAGCCAGAGGAAACUCUGGUGGAGGCUCGCAGCGGUUCUGACGUGCAAAUCGAUCGUCAAAUAUGGGCAUGGGGGCGAAAGACUAAUCGAACCUUCUAGUAGCUGGUUUCCGCCGAAGUU